RNAcentral lists this long non-coding RNA (21608 nucleotides) under Vitis vinifera (wine grape). RNAcentral's name for it is "long non-coding RNA (VVIN_LNC000757)". Lineage: Eukaryota; Viridiplantae; Streptophyta; Magnoliopsida; Vitales; Vitaceae. The record is from RNAcentral.
GACGCACCGAGUUGCGCCACACAACCUGAGUAUAGUGCCCACACUCUCCACCAACGCAUGAGUUGGAGUUGUAGUCAUAAUAAGGCUUCUCCCCCACCCACAAGUUCACCGCAUCGGUGCCUGUCAAUGAACCGCUGCCUUUGGCCAGGUUCUCACCGUAAGGCCCACCUGAGUGCACUAGAUUGCAGUCGCUAAUCCUCUGGUUAGCAUAGUUCUGGGCGUAGGCAGCUACAGUGUCGUUCCAUGUUAUAGACCCAACGCCAACUUGGGCCCGCGCUGCAUUGUGAGCAUCGACGUAGUCCUGUGGAGAGUUCUGGGCACAGCAGGUGUGAGCUAGGGCUAACCCCAUGAGACCAACAAGGAGCGCCAUUGAAAUCUUACACAACCCCAUCUUUUAGUUUCUUUGAUGACAAGUGAGGGCUGGGUUGAAGGGUAUUUAUAGGGGAAAUAGAAGCAUCAUAAUCUCCAAGUCUUGCUCCCCCUAACUUCCCCCUUUGAUACAGUCUGUGUGGCGGCCUUCACACGUAAAGAUCAACAACUGAUAAAAUAGUUGGCACUAAGAUCAAAAUGACUUCCAUGCAUGUUCAAUUUUUUCCUAAGAAGCAAUCAACAAUACAUGAAAACGACUUCCAUGCAUGUUCUUUCUUUUAUUCAAAAUAAAACAGCUCUUUGAAAUCACAGUUUUGCAGUUCAAAAAAUCGGUUUUUAUUAAUAUUUAUUUUUAAAAAUUUACCCUAAACGCUUCAAUUAGAAAAUGCGAGCUUUAUAAAAUUCAAAAGACAAAAACACCUUAAAAUCCAUAUUUUUCUAAAUGGGAUUUGAGAGUAGUUGUAAAAAUAUAAAAAAAUUUAAAAUUACAUCAGCCCCUAUUUUUAUACAAAUAAGCAAUUUUAAAGUGCUUUUUUUUUUCUUUUCUUUUGUUUGAAAAUGUCAACUUAAUUAGUCUAUUUUAUAUAUAUAAACCUUUGAUCACGGACGAAUUUACACGUGCUUCUUCAAAUUCUGCAAAUACGUACAAAGUAUCCUAACUUAAACCUCUGAUGAAGGACGAGCUUACAUGUGCUUCUUCAACUUCUGCAAAUACAUACAAAUUAUCCUAACCGGUUUGCUUACUUGACUGAACUAAGUGUUUGGUCUUUUAAUGUUAGAUUUCGAGAUUUCGUGGAAAAGUGGUUAAGACAGAGUUUUGGGACGGUCAUCAAAGUUGAAUAAUUUAUCAUGUGACACAUUAUUUGAGCAAACAAGUUGAUAGCGUAUGUGAUUUUUUAUGCUCGUUGUCAACCUCAAAUCCAAAAUAAAUAUAUGACUUUGAAAUGGUAAAAUAUUCAGUAUGAUUUUCUUCUUUACCCUUAUGCUAGGCUAUUAUCGUGGGUUGAUGGCGCGAGGUACUAGGGUCAUUGUAAUUUCCUGAUGUACUCGCCUCCUCAACUGAAAAUGAUGCUUCCUUCCUUCGCCCUACAAAAGAUGUCUGGACAGGGGGUCCGGACACACUCUCUAAAGCCUUUGUUAGUUUGAUAAUCCAGCAAAUUGAUAUUCUUGGGCCCUUUUCUUUUAGGAAUGCUUAACCUUUUUUUUUUUUCGACUGGGUCGUCGGGGGCCUUUUAUAGUGCUUGGAGCCUCGUCACUUCGAAGGUGUGAAGACUCUUUGACUUUUGCGAUCAUGAUGGUAUUCAGAGGGUGACAGAGCCAUCAUUAUCCUGCAGGCGGCUGACAGAGAUCGUUGGGGGGAUGAUUUGUCAUCACCCUUGUCUUUUCACUCUGUAGGCGGUGUAGGGCAGGUCGUGGCAGGUCGCCUGAAGAGACCCAAGAAGGUCCAUCGAGUAUGCUUUUGGCGAAAUGAGUAAUGAUUGCCCACAAAAUACGGCCAGGAAUUUUGUUUGGGACGCCAGCUAUUAGGUCCGGACUGGACAUCCACAUAGGGGGUGGGGAGGCCACAUGUCAGUCCAUGUGAUCGUCCGGACAGGGGGUGAGACAUGCCAGGUGUCCAAUGGAGGAGUGCCUUGUGAGGCCGUCACGUGUACGCUUAGGCAGUCCCUACAGGUAUCACUAGUGGUUUCGACUAAUGGUAGCAAAAGAAGAACAAAGGUACUUGAUAGGAUGCUUAUUCCAACAAGUUAAUAUAUAUAUAUAUUUUAAUCAAAUGAACGUUAUUAGAAACAUUUUCAAAACUUUAAUUUAUUUAUUUUUUUAUUUUUUAUUUUUAAAUUUACAUUUAAACAAUAUUGGAUUCUCUAUGAAAGGGUUUAAAAGUACAUUUGAAAGUGAUUUUGAUAAGUGUUUUUAGUCUUUCUAAUACUUAAAAAAUAAAAAAUUUCAAGUGUUAGAAAAACUAAAAGCACUUUCUAGAAUCAUUGCUAAAUGCACUCUAAAUACAAUUAAAAGUGUUUUUACAAGAAUUACUCCAAAUCACAUUAAUAAAAUUGUGAUGAUUUUUGGUGAAAAUUUAUAUGAUGUUAGAUGUAAUUCUUUUUUCAUCUAAGGUUCUAGAUAUUAUACUGUUUGAUUGGAUAAGAUAUGACAAAAAGAUAUCAUGAUUUCUAAUGAGAUAUGACUUUGGAUAUUUUAUCAAAUGAAAAUGGUAUCUUAAGACAUUAUAUUAAAUAAGAUUUGUUAUGAUCAUAUUUAAUUUAUAAAAUAAAUAAAUGGAAUGUAUAAUAUAUUGCAUUUUAAUGUUCAAUAUUUUUUCUAAAAUAAAAAUUAUAUUGAUUCCUAAUGUUUGUUUUUAAAUAAAUAUGAGAUUGUUGUAAAAUAAAAAAAUGAGAAGAAAAAAAGAGGAUGGAAUAAAUAUGAAUACUCAGAGAAAAAUAGAAUAUUAUUUCAUUAGCAAGUCUCCUCAUUUUAUAGAGAGUUAGGAAGAGAUUUGUAUCAAUAUGGAUAAUCAUCCAUAAGUUGUCACAAUCAGAAAAAUUCUCAUAUUUUAUAACACUCCUCUGUAGAUGAUCAUAAGAAUAAUAUACCUCCUUAAACCUUCCUAGAAAAAAUCUUAUGAGAAAAACCUUUGUAAAGUAAAAAAAGUACAAAAUUCUUUAGAAUUAUUACGAUUGCCUUAUUAAAAACCUUGCCAAGAAAACCUAGUGAGAUAAAAUCUGGAUGAAGGGAAAAAACAUAUAAUGUAGUGAUAUCCUUAUCAAUUUGUUUCCACUCAUGUUGGUAUGAUUAUAUUUUCUCUUGUAACUCAAUAUCGAGAUCUUUGAGUUGGCGUAUUUCAAUGUUAUAUAUGAGUUUCUUGAGUGUUGCAGUUGACAAUGCGUUUGUGAAUAGGUCUACUAAAUUGUCAUUAGAUCUUACUCAUUGAACAAUCAUUUCACCACUCUUCUAGAGCUUAGAAGUGUAAAUGAAUUUGAGUGUUAUAAACUUAGUUCCAUCACCUUGAAUGCAUCAUUCUUUAAUUUGUGCAAUGCAUGCAAUAUUAAUAUCAUGUAACAUUGUUGAAUUGUCUUUAAUGGAAGAUAGUCCGUAUGAUUCUUGAGUAUAUUGGAUUACAAAUCUCAACCACACACUUCUUGACUUUCUUCAUGGAUUGCACGUAUUUCUAAAUGAUUUGAAUAACAACUAUUAUAAGUUUUAUUGAUCACCAUGAUAUUGCAGUAUUACCAUAGGUAAACAAAUAUCCUAUUUGAGACCUUGCCUUGUAAGGCAAUCACCUUGGGGGAUGGGAGGGAUGAAGAGGAUGAUGGUCACUUUUUGAAAAAAAUUAAACUAUAUGAAAGCAAGUGACAAGUAUAUCCAAUUAAAUAAUAAAUACAAUGAAAAGUAAUUGCAUAUAAAGUAAAAAGAUAAGGAAAAGAGAUUGCAAACUUAAGAGUUUUAUAGUGGUUUGGAGUAACUCGACCUAUGUCCGCUCUCCUUAAUGUCAUGGACUUAGUCUUUUUCUAAGCUCGUGCGGCACUUAGACAAGUCAAGACACUUGAUCUUGCUAAGUCAGCCUUACUCCCAAUGCUUAGCUUUCUAGGCUAAGAUGCCUACGACUCGGAAGCUUUAAAAGGUGUAGUAGGCGAUGCUUAAAGAAUGAAAGCUUUUGUUACUCAAAGGAAGCUUUACAAGUGCUUUGGGAACUCACUUGCUUGGUUGGUUAGGUUCUUGGGUGGUGCCUUGGCCAAAUGAGGGCCUCACCUAUUUACAGGCAUCAGUGAAACUCUCUGGAACCUUGGAGGGUUCCUUACAACUUAAGAAUAAUCUAGAACUUCCUACACAAUUCUAUGUACAAACCUAUGUAUAAGAAUAUACAAGAGAUUCCUAGAAUUCUCUAGAAAGCCUUAGACUCCUCUCAUACCUUCCACCAUAGUGUAGAGAUGUGUGGACAUCUCUAGGCGUCUCUAGAACCUUCCAUACUCUUCUCACCAAUGGCUUAGUGUAGAUGGCUCCAGGAGUCUCCAAAAGCUUUCUGUCCUCUAUAUAACCCCUAUGGGGAGGGUCAUUUGAAACAUCUUAUGACACUCCCCCCCACCUAUGCCGUCGACGUCCUCAUUGUUGCCACUUCUUGAAACUUCUCGAUGAGUUUCCAGAACCUUCUAAAGGAAUCCGCAUGUUCCCAGCUUACCUGCCUCUUAGGUAGUCCUUUCCGUAGGACUAGAUACUCUAUCACAAGAGAGACCCCUUGUCUCCUGGUAACCCAUUGAACCAAGAUAUUUUUCACCUCCUUUUCCCGUGAGACCUCGGAUGGAUGCAGACCCUUUCACUUUUGAUGCUUGGAGUGCUGCUUCCUCUUACCCAUCGAAUUCACCUUUCCCUUGUUGACCUUGUCCAUGUGUGUGUGAGCUACCUCAACUCGCUCUCCUUUUGCCUCAUUUACUUGCACCCCUGAUAGUAAGGAGAUCUUAGGUGUACUAGGCUUUGGGUUGACUUAGAGGGCACCUAGUAGCUGCACCAAGCCCAUAUGUGCUUCGUGUUCCUACUCCCUCUCCUCGAUCAUACCAUUGAACGCCUUCUUCUUUGGAUAAUCCCAUGCCCAAUGUGGACCAUCACAUAGGAAGCAUUUGAUUUUAGGUGUAAACUCUUUCCUUUCCUCCUUACCCCUUCCUUCCUGGACGUUAAGUGUCUUGCUUGAUCCCAUUCUAGGAGCAUUGUGGUCCCUUGAAACCUCAUCUCUCCCACCUAUGGCGUGGCUAUCCUCCAAAGACUCAACCUUGAAGGAGUCUCCCCUCUUGUAAUCCGUUAAAGACUCUGCUAUUGCCAUAGCAAUGGCUAAGUCUUGAACGCCUUGGCGCCUUAAUUCCUACUCAGCCCACCCUUGCAGGUUAUCCAUGAAGUUGAAUAGCAACUCCUCCUUAGUCAUGUUAGGAAUCUUAAGCAUGAGCGAAGAGAAUUCCUUGACAUAGUCGCGUAUUGAGCCUGUGUACUUAAGACACCUCAUGUUUUUCCUAGCUAGGUAAGCCACAUCUUCGGGGUAGAACUGCCUCUUGAAGUUCUCCCACGUCUCUAUGGUACAAAUGCCUUUCUCCAUAUUGGCGAACCUCCGACGCCACCAUAGAGUAAUUAUGUGAGUAAGGUAGAGGGUUGCAGUCCUUACCUUAACUGCCUCAUUAGUCAAUGCGAUAGCCUCAAAGUAUCGCUCCAUAUGCCAUAAGAAGUUGUCCAACUCCUUGGCAUCCCGUUUGCCACUAAACCCUUAUGGCUUCGACACCUCCAUCCUAAAUGCCUCUUGUGUGGCCAUCACUCGUGCCAACAUAGCAGCCUUGUAGAUGGCUAACUCCUACCUAACCUCCUGGUCUGGAGACUCAAUUCGAGUGGCCAAGGCCUCUAUCCUUGACUCCAUGCUAGCAAGCAUGCUCAAGACCUUUUCUUGGAAGGACACAAACUCCUCAUGUGACACUGGCUGAACCUAUGAGACUAGCACCCCCUCACGAAGGUCUUGGAUCUGCUCCCUUAAAUCCUCUAAGCCCUUCUCCAUGCCUUGCUCGAUCAAGUCCAACCUCUCCUGAGUGUCUGCCAUGGCUAGCUCUAUCUUAGCUAACCUUACCUCCAUGUUGCCAACAACAUAACGAGAUUUAUCCUUCUUGCCCCUGCCACGUGCAUCAGGUUCGAUCUCCCUCCCAUGGGUUUGCUCACUAGUCUCAUCCAAGUUGGAGCCUGACAUGCUUCAUUUACUAUGCCCGCUUUGUAGCAGCGCUUUGAUAUCACUUGUCACGGACUUAGUCUUUUCCUAAGCUUGUGCAAUACUUAGACAAGUCAAGACACUUGAUCGUGCUAAGUCAACUCUCAAUUCUUAGCUUUCUAGGCUAAGAUGCUCAUGAAUCGAAAGCUUUACAAGUGCUUUGGGAACUCACUUGUUUGGUUGGUUAGGUUCUUGGGUGGUGCCUUGGCCAAAUGAGGGCCUCACCUAUUUAUAGGCACCAAUGGAACUCUCUAAAACCUUGGAGAGUUCCUUACAACUCAAGAAUAAUCUAGAACCUCCUACACAAUUCUAUGUACAAACCUAUGUACAAGAAUAUACAAGAGAUUCCUAGUAUUCUCUAGAAAGCCUUGGACUCUUCUCAUGCCUUCCACCAUAGUGUAGAGAUAUGUGGACAUCUCUAGGCGUUUCUAGAACCUUCCAUACUCUUCUCAUCAAUGGCUUAGUGUAGAUGGCUCCAGGAGUCUCCAGAAGCUUCAUGCCUUCUAUAUAACCCCUAUGGGAAGGGUCAUUUGAAGCAUUUUGUGACAUUAAGUUCCUAAUUGAAUGAGGGUUCCACUAUUUCAAGACUUUCAACACAAGCCUCCAAGCAUUACAAUUGGAUUAUGGUUCCAAUCAACCUUCUUGGAUUUAUGACUCCAAGUACUUUCUUGUAUUAUGGUUCUAAGCACCCAUAACAAUCCUUAAGAGAUACCUUACUUUUAAUAAUCUCUCAAGUGAUACUCCACACUUGAGAUACCUCACACUUAGAUUUUUUUUCUUCUCAAAGGUUUACAAGAAAUGAUAGGAAAUAUUUUCACAAAAUACUGAUAUAAAAUUUAGGUGUAAAUGAUACAAAAUAAACAAAGAUUAGGUGUAUUCAUGGAUAUGCAAGUUUAAAAACAAAGUGUACUCAAUUUAUAAAUCUUACUCACCAAAUCAAAGAAAGAUGGAGCCUUUAAAUAGAGUUUGGAAGCCCAAACUAGCUGUUAGACAAGUUUAGGGGUUGGCUAGUCGAGUAACCGACUUGAUCGAUUCACUAACUAUUAGCAUUUAAUAUUCUAGAAAAUGAUAAUUGGAGUUUAAGCCCUUAAUUGGUUGGGCAACCGGUUCAACUAAACUAGUUUGGCCUCAAUUGGUUGCACCUUAGCUAUUGGAAAUCAAAGGUGCACAAAAUGCCCCUUGAUCAAUUGGGUCCAAUUGGCUCAAUUGUUGCCUUAAACCCUCGAUUGGUUGCACUAGAAUGCUUAAAACUCAUUUUUGAGAUCUAGAACCUCCAAAACCUUUUGUAGAAAUUUAAAAACCUUUUAAAGAUAUUUUAGAAAUCAUUUGGUUCAAGGUUUUGAUUGAAAAUGUGAAAUCAUCCCAUUAUAAAAGAAUUUAAAACAAUUUAUUACUUGGAUGAUUUCAUUUGGUUCAAGGUUUUGAUUGAAAAUGUGAAAUCAUCCCAUUAUAAAAAAAUUUAAAACAAUUUAUUACUUGGAUGAUUUUUGGUGCUUAAGUAAAAGUGAAAUGAAUGAAAAACCUAGCGCACUCAUAACCUUACAAAGAGAUCUUAGACAAUCUUUCUCUUUGAGAUUUUUUUUUCUUAAUUUCCCUUGUAUAUAAUAUAUCUGUAGACCCUCAAUUUUGUCCCUCGACACUGGCAUUUAUCCUUCAAGUGUCACAUCCACCCAUCGUUCGCAUAUGGCACCACUAGGGCCCCUUUUGGGCUUAGUCGGUGUCCGAGACUCGUGUGGGUUUGUCUGUGGUCCAUUGUGGUGCAUAUGUGGUUCAUUUUGGAGGGUCACCACGGCCAUUUUCCUAGUCGUUCACAUCACGCUAUAGGAAGGAAGUGGGGUCAUCCUGAUGUUUUAGCUUAGUUGGAGUUUAUAGGGGCAUGUUGAGGUUCGAAGCACUCGGGCUUGUUUUGAUCGUAUCUCCCUCAUCCAAACUCGGAAUCAAGAACCGUUUCUUUUUAUGGAUUCCUUAUUCUUCCAGGAACAUUCUGUAAAAUUUUCAAAAUUUUUUGCAACCGUUCGGCUGGUUGGCAACCGGUUCAGCCGGUUCGGCCGGUUCAUCAAGUCAGCCGGUGUAGAACACUGAUUUUUGGUAAUUGUUUUGAUCAUAUCUCCCUCUUCCGAACUUGGAAUCAAGCACCAUUUUUUUUAAUGGAUUCCUCACUCUACUAGGAACAUUCUGUCAAAUUUUCAUAUUUUUUUUCCAUCGGGUCGACCAGUUGGCAUCCGGUUCGGCCGGUUCAGCCGGUUCAUUGAGUCAGCUGAGGUAAAACACUAAUUCUAGUAAUUUUGAGGCCCAAAUCCUACAUGGCCUAGGCCCGUAAGCUCCAGAUCGGUUUUGGGCAAUGUUGUGGGUCCAUUUUGGGCCUUGGUUUGGGUUCCUUGCAGCCCACCACGAAUCCAUAUGGAUUCUUGGUGGUGAAGCAAGCUGAAAACUGAAGGAGUGAGCUGGCCUUGUAAGUUUAAGAGAAGUAAUGAGGGGUGUGGUUCCCAUGCUGAUGAAGGGGAUUUUGGUGCUGAAGGGGAUGAAGGGGAUUUUGGUGCUGAAGGGGAAGGAAUCCAGGAGGCUCAAAUGUUAAGAGGGGAUGAGUAUAAAAGGUGCAAUGAUAGGAGAGCAAAGGAGAUGAGGGGACAUUUUGGAGAGGGGAAAUUUUGCUGGUGAGAAAAACAAAAGGUCAGUAGCAUCUUCUGAGUUGAGAGCGUGGGGGAAAGCUUCAGCACUAUGGUUUUUUAAAGAGGAGAGUGACAGCAUCUCAGUUUUGGAAGUCAUCAUCUGCAUACACAGAUCAUAUUUGGUGGAGAUUCUAAGGUAAGCAUGCUGAAUUUUCUUUACUUACAGUUUAUCUUCCUCGUCUUCAUAUACUUUUUCUCCUUCCUCAUCAUCUUUUCUUCCCUUUGAUAUGAAGAUUGUAUUGCUUGGGUGUGGAUAAUAAAGGUCACACAUGAUUGUUGUUGUUUGCUUCCUUAAUCACUUAGGAACUUUCUGACCGAAUUUGGGAUUUUUUACCAACCGACUGAACCGGUUCAACCGGUUCAGCACCAUAGCUGGCAGCCUCUGUCAGCCAUGAAGAACAUUUGUCUUUCUUUGUCUAGUUCUCACUCAUCCGGGCUCGGAAUUGAGAACCGUUUCUUUUGUUUGCUUCCUUAAUCACUUAGGAACUUUCUGACCGAAUUUGGGAUUUUUUACCAACUGGCUGAACCGGUUUGGAACCAGUUCAACCGGUUUGGAACCGGUUCAACCGGUUCAGCACCAUAGCUGGCAGCCUCUGUCAGCCAUGAGGAACACUUGCCUUUCUUUGUCUGGUUCUCACUCAUCCAGGCUCGGAAUUGAGAACCGUUUCUUUUGUUUGCUUCCUUAAUCACUUAGGAACUUUCUGACCGAAUUUGGGAUUUUUUAACAACCGGCUGAACUGGUUUGGAACCGGUUCAACCGGUUCAGCACCAUAGCUAGCAACCUCUGUCAGCCAUGAGGAACACUUGCCUUUCUUUGUCUGGUUCUCACUCAUCCGGGCUCGGAAUUGAGAACCGUUUCUUUUGUUUGCUUCCUUAAUCACUUAGGAACUUUUUGACUGAAUUUGGGAUUUUUUACCAACUGGCUAAACCGGUUCAGCACCAUAGCUGGCAGCCUCUGUCAGCCAUGAGGAACACUUGCCUUUCUUUGUCUGGUUCUCACUCAUCUGGGCUCGGAAUUGAGAAUCGUUUCUUUUGUUUGCUUCCUUAAUCACUUAGGAACUUUCUGACCGAAUUUGGGAUUUUUUAUCAACCGGAUGAACUGGUUGGGAACCAGUUCAAUAGGUUCAGCACCGUAGCUGGCUGCCUCUGUCAGUCAUGAGGAACACCUGCCUUUCUUUGUCUGGUUCUCACUCAUCCGGGCUCAGGAUUGAGUGUCGUUUCUUUUGUUUGAAUCCUCACUCAUUUAGGAGUUUUCUAGAAAAAUUUGGGAAUUCUUCUCAAUAGGUUGUACCAGUUGAGAACUAGUUCAACCUGUUCUGUUGGAGGACUUUAGGAAGCCCUCGAUUUUGGCAUUUUUCGAGCCCUUAUCCAUGGGGGCUCAAACCCUUUUGCUAUAGGGCACUUGUGAGCCAUCUUGAAGGUUUAAGUCAGUGUUUGAUUUCAGUUAGUAUGGGCAAUUUUGAAGUUAUGGGUGGUGUGGUCUAGAUGAGUCUAGUUUGAUUUGUAUGACAUUUGGGGAGUCCCUUACCUCAUUUCAACCAACUAUCUUCCUUUUUUGGCACAAGCUUUGAUGCUUGAUUUUGAAUGCAUGUUGCAUGACUGACUCACCCUCUGCUGCAGCGCUUGGCUAGGGACCACAGGUACGCAUCGUUGGCUUUGGUUGUCGAAUUCAUAUGCAUGCAUGGUGCUUAAUCUUGAAUGUUUGUUAUGUGUUUAUCUGUGUUUGGCUGACCUUUUAUGCAGCGCUUGGCUAGGGACCACAGGUACGCACCCAUUGUUUUGUUUGGUUGAAUUCAUAUGCAUGCCAAAUACCAAUUAGGAUUGUGUGAUUCAUGACAUCUAUUUAGCCUAGGGUUUCAUUUGACCUUUGACCCAUAUGCUCCCACAUACCCAAUUCAUUAGUAAAAACCGAGUUUCGGGCCUAGAGGGGUGCUACCUCGCAUGAGGUACCUUCCCAACGGGUAACCUGAUCCCCGGACCCAGAAUCUAGUUUUCGUAGACCACUUUUUCCAUACUGGGGUCAUUAGGGGUUUUUGUUCUUACUUAAUUUUCCCCAUUUUAAAAACAAAAAUAAAAAGUAAGUGGCGACUCCAAGCAACACCGUUCCUCACCGGGGGCGGGUUUUUCAAAACUGGAAAACACCAACUUUUUCAUUUCUUUCUUUUCUUUUAAAAGCGAGUCGCGUCGGUCCGGUGGAUCGGGUGAGGGUCCACAAUAUCUUUAAUUGCUACUUUGAAAAUCUUUUGACCUAAACACACUUAACAUAAAACAUUAAUUCCAAACCUUAUUUUGUUAUCAUCAAAAUUGAAAUUAACCAAACUUUGGUUUCACACCUAUUUUAAUUUCCUCAUUUAUUAUCCACUUUUUUUUAAAAAAAAAAUAUUUUAAGAAUAUUAUAAUAUAUAUAUAGAUAUAUAAACUUAGGUUUAUUCAUACAAAUUGAUAUAAAAAUAUCAUUUAAAAUCAAUAAACUUUUUAUAUUUAGAUAAAUAUCUAAAAAUAAAAUUUAACUUAAAAAAGAAAUGAUGUAAAAAGAUUGUAAAUAAUCAAAAAUAAAAAAAAGCAGGGCCUUGUAAAACUAUUUUUAAUUGAAAUUUUUUUAAGCAUUUAACUUCCCAUAAAAUGAAAAAUUUUUAGAUCUAAAUUUCUUAGUUUUAAAAAUAUUUAACAUAAUAUUAUAUCCAGUUACCAGAAAAUGGCUAGAAGGAAAAAUAAAUAAAAUAGAAAAAGUCUAACUAUUUUUUUUAUGUUUAAAUAAUAUGGACAAAAAUAAGAAAAAAAAGGUAAAAUAUUAAAAUAUUUUCCUCCUUAUUUUUCUAAGAAAAGCUGAAAUAAGUACAGAAAAAAAUUAUAAUUUUCUUUAAUUUUGCGUUUUUUUCUUCAAACUUUCCACAACCAGCCACAUGGUCUAAGUGAAAGCAUAAAUUAUAAAAAUUUUAUCUGUCUACGCAGUUUAAAAGCUUUGCCAAAUUGGGUCUUGGUAGACUUUAAAAAUACAAAAUAAAUUGAUCAGAUGGUUACAUAUAUAUAUAAGUCUUGAUAGCGCCCUGAUAAUGAGGCUACAACUUAGGAAUUACGUGUCCAAUUGCCAUGCUUGGAAAAAUCAAAAUGAUGGCUUUGUUGGAUGAAUCUAGAUGAAGUUUGGCCUACAUAUAAGGAAGAAUAACAUCAUGGUCGCUGGUGGUAGGCAUCAAUUCCGGGACAACCAUGAGCUUGUGCUGGAAAAUUCAGUAGACCCUCCAUUAGUGUAAUCUCUUAAUUGCCUUAACUUCUCUCCAUUUAAAGGCAAAGACUGGACUCAGUGGUAUGGCAUUGGGAUAGACCCAGAGUUCAGCUCAGUCCUAGGGCCCAAUUAAAGUUCUAGAUUGGGUUGAGUCUUAUAUAAAAGUGACAAUCUCUAUUUGUUAAUCUUUGUGUCAACUUAAUUUAUACUAUUAUUACUCAUGUAACCUAAUUCAUAUUUUAAAUCUAAUCUAUAUCACAAUUUAUUCUAAUAUUUUUGGAUGAUGCACAUCAAUUUGAAAAUUUUUGGUGUGUAUCAUAGCUCUUAAUAGCUCAAAUUUAUGUUACAUCCCUAUUCAAGACUUUCUCACAAUUUUCAAGUUUUGUAGUGCUUUUAUUAAAAGUGUGAUGAGCUUAGUGAGCGCAAGUAGGGGUUAUAAGGGUCAUUUUGAGCAUUUUUAGUAACUUCUAUGAAUUUUGGAAGGACAGGGGAGCCCAAAAGCAAGAGUAAAUUAGCAAGCUAAGCAAAACACAAUUAGCAUCUCCACAAGCUCGAUUCCAACUAGUUUUGAGUUUGGAGUUAUUUGAAAGGGUUAUAUGCAUCUUAAUAGAGUGGUAAAUUUUAUCAAGUUCUAGACUCUAAUAGGGAAGAAAAGGGGAGUUAGAGAUUUUAUUUUUAAAACAAAGAAAAUACCAUUGCAAGAUAGUAGCAUAAACUUCAACUUAAAUAUAAAAAACAGAACAAAAAAUAGCUAAUCUAAUAUUUGCUUUUUAAUUACAUCAAUUUACUAACUUUCCUAUAAGUGAGCCAACUUUAUUAUUAUUAGAUCAUCUAGUGAAAUAUCUCUCUUUUAUUUUGAUAACUUAGUUUUAGAUCAAGUUUUGAUAAUCUCAUCUAAAAAUUAAUUGGUAUCUUGAGGUUGGACUAAGUCUUUUAUAACAUUCAACCACCAUCAUCUGGGUGACCCAUCCAUUGAGCUUAAAGAGUGAAGUUGUUACACCCCAACAAUCUCUCCACUAACAUGAUGCUUCCCCGGCUUUAACUCAAGACAUUGACUUUGAUACCAAUUCGUGGAUCAAACUUUGAUCAUCUUAUUUGAAGACCAAUUGAUUUUUAGAUGAGAUGAUUAAAACUUAAUUCAAGACUUAGAAAGGUAUUUAUCAGUUCCUUCCCCUUAAAAAAACCUUGUCCUCAAGGUUGGAAGUAAGGAAAAUGACUAAUAAGCUUAUGCCAAUCUCCCUAGCUAGCAUCUUUUAGGGAAGAAUUAAAAUAAUGAACAAGAAUUGGAUCUUUGAAUUGUUCCCAUGUUUGAUAGCAUGUUGAUCAAGAAUUCUGAUUAGUUCAAACAACAUCUGUCCUUUAUCAUUAAUGGCUGGUAGCUCAAGUUUUGCAGUGUUUUUUCUAGCCAAUGGAUCUUUUUCUUUAAACCAGAUAGUGAAUUUUUGAAUGGGAAAGCAAUUCCAAAUAAUAAGCAACUACUCCUAUAUGGAAAUUCACCCUAAAAGGCCUAUAAAACCUUAGAGACAGCUAAUUGAUGCAUGGAAAGGCCACAUAGGCUUAUUAGUCUGGUUAUAGGUACAAUUACACCAUACCUCUCACAUCAAAAGACCUUUCUAUAUGAUGUUGAUUAGCUUGCUGAUUCAUAUGGCGUUGAGCCUUCUCCAAAUUUUCUUUCAAUAGUAGUAAGAUGGCAUGCAUUUCGAUCCGUAAGCGCUUGGCCUAUUGAUACUGCCUUGGUGUCACCUCGUGCAUACAUGGGCAGAGAUGACGAACUCUGACCAUAAUCCAUUUUAUGUAGAAUGAGCCUGAUGGCAGUGUGGAAGGAAGUAUUGAACCACCAUUCAACAAAUGGUAACUAAGGAGACCACUUUUUAGGAUGAUUGCCCAUGACACAAUAAAGAGAAUUUUUCAAACAAUGAUAAAGGCUCUUUUUAGGAAUUGUUUUUUAAAACACUUUUUGGUUCUUCAGAAAAAAAAAAAAAAAAAUUGAAAACAAUAUUUGACAACUGGAAAAUAGAAUUUUUUUUUUGGGACUAUUUUAACUUGUUUUAAAAAAUAAUUAUAUAAUAAAUACAUAAAAUUUAUUUUUAAAACAUAUUUAAAAAAAAUAGAAAACAUAUAUGUUAAGAAUAUUUCAUAUUCCAAAUUGACUUUUGUUAUACAACUUAAUGAAUUAAUAUGAUUUAAUGAUUUAAUUUAAGCCAUUGAGUAAAUUAAAUAUCUUUGGUAAAAUAAUUUAAUAUUACAAUUUAAAAUUACUUUUAACAUUAAAUAUUAAAUCAAAAAAAUUAACUCAUUUUUAAUUUUAAAUCUUUUUUGUUUUAUUUAACCCUAAAGUAUAUUUUAACAUUAUGAUUUUACAUCUAUGAUUCUUUUUUAAAAUAAAUAUUUUAUGGUUAUCAUACCCAUCUACAAUAUUUUAAAUAUGAAUAUUGUCUAAAUAAAAAUUACUUAAAAUUAUUGAAAAUAAAUAUGAGUUGAAAUCAAGGAAGAUAAAUAUUCAUUAAAAUUAAUAAGGGUAAAUAUGUUAAUUUGAUAAUUUAAAAUAAACUUUAAGUUAACUUUAUCAAAUACCUUAAGUAAAAUAAGUAAUAAAUUUUAAGUCAAUCACUUAAAAAUAAUUUAAUUUAAAGUUAACUUAAGUAAUUAAGUAAUAAAUAUCAAAUUUUAUCAAACACUUGAAACUCUAUAUCUUAUGAAAAAUUGUUUUUUUAGAACUACUUUUAAAAACGCUUUCUAAACAAAGCAUAAUCCUUAGUUUUUCCAUGAGAUUGUAGAUGAUAUGAUGAACUCAUAUAAAGUUGAGUGCUGCUCAAAGAGAGCUUGCCAGAAUAUGCUAGUAUAUAUGGGAUCUCUGUUGCUAACAAUGGUAGUGGGCAUGUCCAACAAGUGAACAACAUGUUGGAUAAAAAUCUUAGUAACUUCCUUGGCUGAAUAUCGAUGUCUUAAAGCAAUAAAGUAAUGGUAUUUUCUUAAUAUAUCCUUCAUGAGGAAAAUGGCAUCUUUCCCAUGUGAGCGAGGAAGUCAUCCAUUGAUAAAAUUCAUGGUUGUCAUGUAAUAUUGCAGCCUAGAGAGAAAAAUGUACAACUCAAGACCAGGGAACCCUUGUACUGUAGUUGAUUUUGCAAUAUCGCCAAGAAUACCCCCAUUUGGCAUUUGGCAUUUGGGUCAACAAUAUUAAGUCUUUGUAUUAGUUAUUGUAGUUAAGGGUCUUGCUGCUAUUUUUCCUUGGAAGUAUAUCAAGCCAAUUAAUAGUAGACAAGGAUAGGGUCAUGACUUUCAAUAUUGAACAUACUCUAUAACGGACAAAGCCAGAGAGAAAUAAGAGAAUUGUAUGAGGGUUUAAAUGUUUAUUAAAGAUAUUUGGUGGUAGAAAUUAUCCUUUUAUUCUCACAAUCACUUGAAGUUGGAGCAUGUGACACGGCAUGGAUCGAUGUGUUAGGCAUGGCCCCCACGUGCCUUCGAUGGGAGAUAUCCCUUCCAUACCUUCUCAGGUUAUAAAUGAGGAAAAAUGUCUCUUCCCAUAUGCUUUUCUGUAUCUCAAAUAUAUCAAUUCUAGAAGGAUUGAAACUCAACCAAGCCUUUCAAAUAGGUGAUCAUCCAAUGAACCAGAUUUAAGGCCAUUAGUCCACCCAGUACUUGUUCCUGCAAUGAUAUCCCACAAUGAUGUCUUCAAAGUUGGCCAUAUCCCACUACUUGAUCUAGACUCUCAGAUUUAUUGUGCUGUGAUAUUAGAUCAUAGGGGAGCUAGCUAAUCAAAUUUGAAUCCUUUUCCAUAUCCUAAUUUUUUUGUCAAUUCCUUUGUAUUGACUUUUAAUUAAUAGGGUUAAUUUAUAGUCCCGAUUUCCUUGAACAAUGAAUGUUAAUGAAAAUUAUUACCUACAUAUACAACAAAUAAUCAUAUUUCUUAUAAUACUACUAUGUCCCUUUUUUCAUAAGAUCAGCAGGAUAACCCUGGAAAUUAAGACAAAGAAAACAAGGAGCCGACAUGCUUUGAAGUACUACUAUGAAUUUAUUAUACUUGGAAAUUAAGCAUCUCUCUUGAGUAUUUUUGAGUACAGAAGGAGAAUAAAACAAGAUCUUACUGAAAAACUACCUCAAUUAUAUCUUCCUUGGUCAGCUAAAAGCACAAAGUUGAUCUUAUUUGCACUGACCCAUGGUAUAUAUGCUGAUCAGCUUAUUACAUAUAUGUAGUACUUGCUUAGAGGUCGUUUCAUAAUGUUUAAUAAGGCCGUUGUCCCACAUAGUUGCCCGGUGGAUCGUAGUUGCAUGUGACGAACCACCACCCAUUGUUGCACUGAACCCUGGCGCACCCAAGGCGAACUGAGUUGCUCCAAACAACCUGAGUAUAGUGCAGGCACUCCCCACCAACGCAUGAGUUGGAGUUGUAGUCAUAAUUAGGCUUCUCCCCCACCCACAAGUUCACCGCAUCGGUGCCUGUCAAUGAACCACUGCCCUUGGCCAGGUUCUCACCAUAAGGCCCACCUGAGUGCACUAGAUUGCAGUCGCUAAUCCUCUUGUUAGCAUAGUUCUGGGCGUAGGCAGCUACAGUGUCGUUCCAUGUCAUAGACCCAACGCCAACUUGUGCCCGUGCUGCAUUGUGAGCAUUGACGUAGUCCUGUGGAGAGUUCUGGGCACAACAGACGUGAGCUAGGGCUAAUCCCAUGAGACCAACAAGAAGUGGCAAUGAAAUCUUACACAACCCCAUCCUUUUUAGUUUCUUUGAUGAGAAGUGAGGUUAUUGAUGAGAAAUGAGGCUUGGUUUGAAGGGUAUUUAUAGGGGAGACAGAAGCAUCAUAAUCUCUAAGUCAUGCCCUCCCAAACUUCCCCCUUGGACACAGUCUUUGUGGUCGCCUUCACACGUAAAGAUCAACGACUGAAAAAAUAGUUAGCACUAAGAUCAAAAUGACUUCCAUGCAUGUUCAAUUUUUUCUUAAGGAGUAAUCAACAAUAUUGAAAAUUCUUUGUGUUUUGGAUAUCUUCUAGGGUUUACCCCUGGCGGCCAGACCAGUUUGAUCAAGACUCGUGAACUUCCUUCUAAAAGAACAUGUAUAAAGAAUUAAAAGGGAAAAACAAGUGUUGAUGUUAAAUCAAAAUUAUUUUAACAAUCUUAGAUGCUGAAAUUCUUGACAUUGAUCAGCUAGUAUUUUUUUUUUUUUGAUUCAAAAUAAAACAGCACAAUGGAAUCACAUUUUUUCAGUUCAAAAAAUGGGUAUUUAAAUAUAAUUUAAAAUCAAUAAACUUUUUAUAUCCAGAUAAAUAUCUAAAAAUAAAAAUUUAACUUAAAAAGUAAAUGAUGUUAAAAAGAUUGUAAAUAGAUACAAAUAAAAACUAGUAGGGCCUUGUAAAACUAUUUUUAAUUGAAUUUCUUUUAAGCAUUUUAACUUCCCAUAAUAUGAAAAACUUCUAGAUCCAAAUUUCUCAGUAUUAAAAAUAUUUAACAUGUGAUAUUAUAUUUGGUUCCUAGGAAAUGCAAGAAGGAAAAAAACAAAAAGUCUAAUUAUUUUUUUAUUUUUAAAUAAUGUGGACAAAAAUAAGCAAAAUACAAAAUAAGUUGAUCAAAUGGUUAUAGAUAUAGAAGUCUUGAGAGCGCCCUGAUAAUGAGGCUACAACUUAGGAAUUACGUUUCCAAUUGCCAUGCUUGGAAAAGUCAAAUGAUGGCUUUGUUGGAUGAAUCUAGAUGAAGUUUGGCCUACAUAUAAGGAAGAAUGACAUCAUGGUCACUGGUUGUAGGCGUCAAUUCCGGGACAGCCAUGAGCUUGUGAUGGAAAAUUCACCAGACCCUCCGUUAGUGUAAUCUCUUAACUACCUCAACUUACUCAACCGCUCUCCAUAUAAAGGCAAAGACUGGAGUCAGUAGUAAGGGAUUGGGGUAGACCCAGAGUUCAGCUCAGUCUAGGGCCCAUUUAAAGUUCUGGAUUGGGUUGAGUCUUACAUAAAAGCGGAUAAGCUCUAUUUGUUAAUCUGUGUCAACUUAAUUUAUACUAUUGUUACUCAUUUAACCUAAUUCAUAUCUUAAAUCUAAUCUAAAUUACAAUUUAUUCUAAUAUUUUUGGAUGAUGCACAUCAAAAAAUGUUUCAUACUGUAUAUAUUUUCUAUCAUUUGAAAAUUUUUGGAGUGUAUCAUAGCCCCUAAUAGCUCAAAUUUAUGUUACAUUCCUAUUCAAGACUUUCUCACAAUUUUCAUGUCUGUAGUGUUUAUUAAAAGUAUGAUGAGCUUUGUGAGCACAAGUACAGGUUAUAAGGGUCAUUUUGAGCAAUUUUAGUAACCUCUAUGGGUUUUGGAAGGAGAGGGGAGGCCAAAAGUAAGAGUAAAUAUGCAAGAUAAGUAAAACUCAAUUAGCAUCUCCACAAGCUCGAUUCUAACUAGUUUUGAGUUUGGAGUUGUUUGAAAGGGUUAUAUGCAUCCAAAUAGAGUAAGGUAAAUUUUAUCAAGUUCUAGACUCUAAUAGGGAAGAAAAGGGGGGUUAGGAGAUUUUAUUUUUGAAACAAAGAAAAUACCAUUGCAAGAUAACAACAUAAAGUUCCACUUAAAUAUGAAAAAGGGAAUAAAAAAUAGCUAAUCUACUAUUGCUUUGUAAUUACAUCAAUUUGCUGACACUUCCUAUAAGUGAGCCAACUAUAUUAUUAUUGGAUCAUCUCCUGAAAUUUCUCUCUUUUAUUUUGAUAACUAAGUCUUAGAUCAAGUUUUGACCAUCUCAUUUAAAAAUUAAUUGGUUCUAAGUUUUUUAUGACAUCAUUGUUAUUUGGGUAACCCAUUCAUUAGAAAGUGAUAUGAUUAGACCCCAAAAAUCCCUCCACCAAUAGAAGGCUUUCAUGGCUCUAAUCCAUGACAUUGACUUUGAUAUCAAUUUUAGAUUGAACUUUGAUCAUUUCAUCUUAAAACCAAUUGAUUUUUAGAUGAGAUAAUCAAAACUCGAUUUAAAACUUAGGAAAUUACUUAACCGUUCAUUCUUCUUGAAAAAGCCUUAUUCUCAAGGUUUGAAGUGAGUAAAACAACUAAUAAGCCUAUGCUAAUCUUCCUAUCUAGCAACUUUUGGGAAAUAAUUAAAAUAAUGACAAAAUGCCACAGCCUUAUUAUUAGGGCUACAAGUGCCGUUACCCCAUAUCUGCCACAUCAAAAGACCUUUCCAUAUGAUGUUGAUUAGCUUGCCUACUUAUAUGGUGUUGAGUCUUCUCUAAAUUUUCUUUCAAUAGAAGUAAGAUGGCAUGCAUUUCAAUCAUCAAGCGCUUGCCCUAUUGAUAUCACCUUGGUGUCACCUCCCCCAUACAUAGGCAAAGAAGAUGAACUCUGACGAUAAUCUAUUUUAUAUAGAAUGAGCUCGAUGGCAGUGUGGAAGGAAGUUUUGAAGUUUUUAGGAUGAUUGCCCAUUACACAAUAAAGAGAAUUUUUUAAACAAUGAUUAAGGCUGUAUUUGGAAAUUGUUUUUUAAAACACUUUUUAGGUAUUCAAAAUAAAAAAAAAUAGAAAAACAUAUUUUACAAUGGGAAAGUAGAAAAUAUUUUUUAAUUAUUUUUACAUAUUUUUUAAUGAUUAUUUUAAAAAUAACAUGAAAAGUGAGUUUUAACUUACUAAUUUAAAACCCCAAAUUUUAUAAAUUAUAUUUAGUUUUUAUUCAUUUAAAAAUAUUUUAAAAUACAUACAUUUUUCCAUUUGUCAAAUAAUUAGUUUCUAAAAUGACCCUUUUAUUUAUUAGGUUAAUAAUACCAAUUGAUGAAUUUUUUUUUUUACAAGAAUUGUUCUGACCUCAAUAAAAUAAAAAAUUUUAAAAUUUAAAAUUAAAACUAAAAAAACUUUAAAACUAAAGACAUAAAAUAAAAUAUUAACUUUCAUUUUGAAUUGUGACAAGUAUGCUUGAUACGAGAUAAGUCUUGUGGACAACAGAAUGACCUCCAAUGGGGCUAUCAUGGUUGUCAUGUAAUAUUUCAGCCUUGUACUGUAGUUGAUUAUGCAUUAGCCAAUAUACCCCCUUUUGGCAUUUGGGUCAACAAUAUUAAGUUUUUGUAUUAGUCGUUGUUGUUAAGGGUCUUGCUGCCAUUUUUCCUUGGAGGUAUCGAGCCAAUUAAUAAUAGACAAGGAUAGGGUCUUGACUUUCUAUAAUAAACAUAUUCUAUGACGGACAAAGAGAGAGAGAAAUAAGAGAAUUGUAUGGGUGACUUUCUAUUAUAAAUCUUUAUUAAAGAUAUUUGGUGGUAGAAGAAAGUUUUAAGUAAUUUUUUUAAUAAUUAGUCUUUUAUUCUCACGAUCACCUGAAGUUGGAGAAUGUGACACGGCAUGAAUCAAUGUGUUAGGCAUGACUUCCACGUGCCUUGGAUGGGAGAUAUCCCUUCCAUAAGGAAAAAUAUCUCUUCCCAUAUGCAUUUUGGUGUCUCAAGUACAUCGAGUCUAGGAGGAUUGAGGGAAACUCAACCAAGCCUUUCAUUUGGGUGACCAUCCACUGAACCAGAUUUAGGCGCAUUAGUCCACCCACUACUUGUUCCUGCAAUGAUAUCCCCCAAUGACGUGUCAAAGUUGGCCAUGUCCCACUACUUGAUCUAGACGCUCAGCUUUGUUGUGCUGUGAUAUUAGAUCAUAGAGGAACUAGCUAAUCAAAUUUGAAUCCUUUUCCAUAUAUAUAUAUAUAUAUAUAUAUCCUAAAUUCUUUGUCAGUUCCUUGUAUUAACUUUAAUUAAUAGGGUUUAUAGUCCCAAUUUCCUUGAAAUUUCUUAUAAUACUACUGUGUCCUUUUUUCAUAAGAUCAGCAGGAUAACCCUGGAAAUUAAGACAAAGAAAAAAGAGAAGCCAACAUGCUUUGAAGUAUAACUAUGAAUUUAUUGUACUUGGAAAUUAAGCAUCUCUCUUGAGUACAGGAGGAGAAUAAAGCAAGAUCUUACUGAAAAGCCACCUUAAUUAUGUCUUCCUUAGUCAACUAAACGCACAAAGUUUUAUUUGUACUGACCUAUGGUAUAUAUCCUGAUCAGUAUAUUACAUAAAUGUAGUACUUUGCUUAGAGGUAGUUCCAAGAAGUUUAAUAAGGAUGUUGUCCCUGAUAGUUGCCCGGUGGAUCGUAGUUGCAUGUGACGAACCACCCUCCACUGUUGCAUUGAACCCUAGCGCACCCAAGACGCACUGAGUUGCUCCAAACAACCUGAGUAUAGUGUCGGCAUUCCCCACCCACGCAUGAGUUGGAGUUGUAGUCAUAAUAAGGCUUCUCGGCCACCCACAUGUUCACUGCAUCGGUGCCUGUCAAUGAAGGGCUGCCCCAGGCAAGGUUCUCACCGUAAGGCCCACCUGAAUGCACUAGAUUGCAGUCGCCAAUCCUCUGGUUAGCAUAGUUCUGGGCGUAGGUAGCCACAGUGUCGUCCCAUGUCAUAGACCCAACACCAACUUGUGCCCGCGCUGUAUUGUGAGCAUUGACGUAGUCCUGUGGAGAGUUCUGGGCAUAGCAGGUGUGAGCUAGAGCUAACCCCAUGAGACCAACAAGGAGUGGCAAUGAAAUCUUACACAACCCCAUCUUUUUUAGUUUCUAUGAUGAGAAGUGAGGUUAUUGAUGAGAAAUGAGGCUUGGUUUGAAGGGUAUUUAUAGGGGAGAUAUAUAGAAGCAUCAUAAUCUCUAAGUCAUGCCCUCCCAAACUUACCCCU